UGGGGCGUGGUGCAAUCGGCAGCACAGCGGACUUUGAAUCCGUUAAUCCUGGUUCGAGUCCAGGCGCCCCGG
Molecule: transfer RNA, 72 nt
Filed under: Anaerolineae bacterium
Lineage: Bacteria; Bacillati; Chloroflexota; Anaerolineae
Description: tRNA-Gln
Rfam family: tRNA
About the family: Transfer RNA (tRNA) molecules are approximately 80 nucleotides in length.
Source: RNAcentral